GUAUAUAUAAUAUAUUUUAAAUAUAUAAUAUAUUUUAAAUUUUGGAUUUCUUUUAGAUUUCUGCAAUUUUAUUUUUAAAAAAAUAUAAAGAUAAAUUUAUAAUAUAAAAAAAUGUAAGAAAUUUUAUAAAAUGUGAUAAAGAUAUAUAAUAUUUUAUAAAAUGAAUUUGUAUUUAUUAUGUAUUUAUUAAUGUUUAAUAUAAUUAUGUACA
RNAcentral lists this transfer RNA (211 nucleotides) under Pneumocystis jirovecii. RNAcentral's name for it is "tRNA-Pseudo(TTA)". The record is from RNAcentral. Lineage: Eukaryota; Fungi; Ascomycota; Pneumocystomycetes; Pneumocystales; Pneumocystaceae.